Molecule: transfer RNA, 73 nt
Filed under: Bathycoccus prasinos
Lineage: Eukaryota; Viridiplantae; Chlorophyta; Mamiellophyceae; Mamiellales; Bathycoccaceae
Rfam family: tRNA
About the family: Transfer RNA (tRNA) molecules are approximately 80 nucleotides in length.
Source: Rfam by way of RNAcentral
GCGGGUAUAACUUAAUCGGUUAAAGUAUCAGACUGUGACUCUGAAAAUACGAGUUCAAUUCUCGUUACUCGCC